RNAcentral lists this unclassified non-coding RNA (260 nucleotides) under Hevea brasiliensis (rubber tree). Lineage: Eukaryota; Viridiplantae; Streptophyta; Magnoliopsida; Malpighiales; Euphorbiaceae. The record is from RNAcentral.
GAAGGUAACGGUAACCUUGAGCUUGAACUACCAAGGAAAUUCUCAUUUCGCAUAACGAAUUUGUCAGUUCUUUCUCAGUUACUCCAUAUAUCUACUGAACAGCAAAGCGAAGAACUGAGUACCCCUUUCUUUUCUUCCUUAGAAUCUAAUGAUCAAUCUUCCAUCGUUGUACAUGAUGAUACUUUAGUUUCUCCCGAUCACUUGAGUGAAGUUAAUUCUAUCAGGGAUGAAGCAAGUAGCUCAAGUCCCCAAGAACUGGG